GUGGUAUAAUGGUUUGCAUAAUUGCCUUUCAUGCAGUUGACCCGGGUUCGAUUCCCGGUCGUCGCA
This 66-nucleotide transfer RNA is filed under the name Cordylochernes scorpioides. Its description in RNAcentral is "tRNA-Glu". It matches the Rfam family "tRNA". From Rfam's summary of the family: Transfer RNA (tRNA) molecules are approximately 80 nucleotides in length. Their secondary structure includes four short double-helical elements and three loops (D, anti-codon, and T loops). The record is from RNAcentral. Lineage: Eukaryota; Metazoa; Arthropoda; Arachnida; Pseudoscorpiones; Chernetidae.